Molecule: ribosomal RNA, 253 nt
Filed under: uncultured bacterium
Lineage: Bacteria
Description: partial 16S ribosomal RNA
Rfam family: Bacterial small subunit ribosomal RNA
Source: RNAcentral
UACAGAGGGGGCAAGCGUUGUUCGGAAUUACUGGGCGUAAAGGGCGCGUAGGCGGCCCGCUAAGUCGAACGUGAAAUCCCCGAGCUCAACUCGGGAACUGCGUCCGAUACUGGCGGGCUUGAGUCCGGGAGAGGGAUGCGGAAUUCCAGGUGUAGCGGUGAAAUGCGUAGAUAUCUGGAGGAAUACCGGUGGCGAAGGCGGCAUCCUGGACCGACAUUGACGCUGAGGCGCGAAAGCCAGGGGAGCAAACGGG